This is a small nucleolar RNA of Xenopus tropicalis (tropical clawed frog), 141 nucleotides long. The record is from Ensembl. NCBI's taxonomy places the organism in Eukaryota, Metazoa, Chordata, Amphibia, Anura, Pipidae.
UUUGCAAUGAUGAUUGGCGCAGGGGUACCGACCUCAGCUGGAUAAUGGGAGCUGAGUGCAGAGCCGUGUCUGUCUGGUUAUCCGACGUGUGGUUGGUGGCCAGGAGACUCUCUGCAUGAUACAGCCGCCAUACUGAGCAAC